CUUUUCUCUUUUUCUUCUCUUUUCUUCCUCCUUCUUCUUUAAAAAAUUUUUAAAAAAAAUUUGACCACACACAUUAGGGUUUGCACUGAUACAUGCAUGAUAUAAUUUAUCUUGACAUAGUUGAACCUAAUCUUGAAACUGAACGGUUGAUCCAUAUUACACCUGAUAAUCAAAUGGCUAGAAAAUCUUGAGAACCACCUAGGC
Molecule: long non-coding RNA, 204 nt
Filed under: Elaeis guineensis (African oil palm)
Lineage: Eukaryota; Viridiplantae; Streptophyta; Magnoliopsida; Arecales; Arecaceae
Description: long non-coding RNA (EGUI_LNC080475)
Source: RNAcentral